AGGAGACUAGCGCGGUUUUUCCGAGUUCUCGCCUGCAUAAGCCUAAAGCUUGAUUUUUUUCUCCACUAUUGGGGAUCAUUCUUUUGGAAUUUAUAUUCUACUUCCUCACAUUCCAAAUUUUGAUGCAGUUGUUUUUAAAAGGGAUCAGGUUUUUGACUGACGAUAUGAAAAUCCGGAGCUUUCAUGAUGAUAGGAGUUACCAGCAGUCUGGAGGGAAAUCAUUCCGUGAGUUCAGGAGGAAAGAAGUCACAGUAAGCGGAUUUAAAAAACCGUGGAAUAAGGGCUGAUAUCCACUUUGUGCCAUCCUCUUCCUCAACAUCAAAAGACAGUGUCCAAGUGGAGCAUAUCUGGAAAUGCCAAGUGCCCCUGGAGCCUUUUUAAAAAGUAUUUCAGAAAAUAAUUACGUUCAAGAUUAAGAAAAAUUUAAGGAGCUCUUGGGUCAAUGGCGCUUCUGAUCUGUAGUUUGUUGGCCCAUUGGACAAAGUGGCCUUCUCUUUCCAUACAUGAGAAGAAAGAGCGAUGGCUUUCAUUUUCCAUUGAAAGAUGCCUUUACAAUGAUUACCCGUGAAGUUCAAGAUUCCUACUUUUUUACCAUCUUUGACGCACCUGGCUACUGUUCAAUUAGCUCUGGUUCUCUACAAGCGCAAUGACAUUCAAGACUUAUUAGACGAGAUAGAUAAUCGUCAUCCAUCCAUGCGCCAUUUCGACCAACUACUUCCCCACGUCAUCCAUGUCCCCUGCACCAAGGACGAGGCAUGGAAACAGGUAAAGGUGAAAGCAAUGGAAAUAUUCGCUAAUUUACUCCCACUUAAACUUAAGGUCCAAGUAUCUGAAAUGAUUCGCCCCCUGCAUUGGGAAUUAAAAAAAUGGUUGAUAGACCAUAGUUUUGUUGAACCCAAACUAAAUGUCGGAGAGGUUGAAGUAAUUCGAUUUCUGAAUUCCGAAUGUAAAGAUCGAAUAAUAGAUGACAAGCCUCUUCAUUCUUUAAGACGUUUUAAACUUUUACAUUAUGUUUGUUGGAAACCAGAUGGAACAAUUAAUAGAAUUCGAACAGCUGAAAAUUUCAUUCGAUACGAAAGGGACUUCUUAAUGGCUUGCACAUAUUUCAUGGAGAGCCAAAUUUUGGAGACUUGGCCGGACA
This is a long non-coding RNA of Argiope bruennichi, 1141 nucleotides long. RefSeq lists it as uncharacterized. The record is from RefSeq and is a predicted model, not a curated record. Lineage: Eukaryota; Metazoa; Arthropoda; Arachnida; Araneae; Araneidae. The transcript is spliced from 5 exons.